GGGAUGAUAUUGUCUUCAAAGAUCCACUCAACACUUUCACUGGCAUUGAGAAUUAUAAAUCAAUCUUCUGGGCUCUACGAUUCCACGGCAGGAUGUUCUUUAGGGCCUUGUGGAUUGAUAUUGUUAGUGUAUGGCAACCUGUGGAGAACAUGAUAAUUUCACUGGCAUUGAGAAUUAUAGAUCAAUCUUCUGGGCUCUACGAUUCCACGGCAGGAUGUUCUUUAGGGCCUUGUGGAUUGAUAUUGUUAGUGUAUGGCAACCUGUGGAGAACAUGAUAAUAGUUCGGUGGACUGUUCAUGGCAUUCCCCGUGUUCCAUGGGAGAGCCACGGUCGCUUUGAUGGCACUUCAGAGUAUAAGCUUGAUAAAGAUGGGAAGAUUUAUGAGCACCGCGUUCACAAUAUUGCUUUGAGUGGACCCCCGAAGUUCCAUGUACUUGCUGUGCAGGAAUUAAUUGAAUACAUCGGCGGCGCCUCAACACCAAAGCCAACUUUCUUUGAAAUCUUUUCUUCUACCUUGAGGAACAUUGCUCCAGUAACGAAAAUUUCAAGCUUGAGGCGGAACCUGGGCUUAAUUCUAGCCUCCCUAAAGAGAAUUGAGGAGGAAAAGUCAGAUCAAACAUAGCAUUAUGGUGAAGUGCCAAAAAU
This 645-nucleotide long non-coding RNA is filed under the name Nicotiana benthamiana. RNAcentral describes it as "long non-coding RNA (NBEN_LNC017747)". Lineage: Eukaryota; Viridiplantae; Streptophyta; Magnoliopsida; Solanales; Solanaceae. The record is from RNAcentral.